GGCCUCUUUUGCGGGCUCAGUCUAAAUUCGCCGCACUUACGACGACGUAAUGCCUCUGUCAGUUUUCCGGUUCCAGAGUUAUUCUGUAUCAUCGCCGUUAAUCCGGUGCUUCAGGUCACAAGCAGCAUUGAAAGCAUUGGCUAAAGCAUCUGAAGACAAAGUCCCAAAUCUCAUCCUCUAUAAUUAUCCUUCAUUUUCCGGAGCUUUUGCCGCGCUUUUCACUCACCUCUAUCAUUCUCAU
RNAcentral lists this unclassified non-coding RNA (241 nucleotides) under Hevea brasiliensis (rubber tree). The record is from RNAcentral. Lineage: Eukaryota; Viridiplantae; Streptophyta; Magnoliopsida; Malpighiales; Euphorbiaceae.